GGAUAUGAGGUAACCUGGCUUUGACAUCUGCAAUCCCACUGGUCUGUAUUGACUGAAAUCCUUGGCUGGCUUCACAGGUGUGCCCCUGUCCUCUCAUAGCUCCAACUGUGUCCUCUCAGAACUGUACACUGGUCUAAGAAUGCUCACUUCCUGGAGAGAAGGGUUAAUUAGACCCCCUUUCCAGGUUUCACUGGCAUGUUUUUAUUAUCCUUUGAGUCUAUUUUUUAUAUGAUUAUUUAAAAUACCACGCCUUUCUCAUCUUUGAAAAAAUUAGUAUUGUUUCAUAA
RNAcentral lists this small nuclear RNA (287 nucleotides) under Pteropus alecto (black flying fox). Its description in RNAcentral is "7SK RNA". The stretch from base 1 to 174 matches the Rfam family "7SK RNA". Rfam says of the family: 7SK was discovered as an abundant small nuclear RNA in the mid-70s but a possible function has only recently been suggested. Two independent studies have found that 7SK RNA binds the CDK9/cyclin T complex (known as elongation factor P-TEFb). Lineage: Eukaryota; Metazoa; Chordata; Mammalia; Chiroptera; Pteropodidae. The record is from Rfam by way of RNAcentral.